This is an unclassified non-coding RNA of Anser brachyrhynchus (Pink-footed goose), 177 nucleotides long. The record is from Ensembl. Lineage: Eukaryota; Metazoa; Chordata; Aves; Anseriformes; Anatidae.
CUGAAUCUCUUAACAAUUGAAACAUGUUUAUUUAUGCAAAGAGCAGACAUGGCAUGGGAAUCUGUGGUUCAUGAUUCCCCAGCAAGUCCUGCCAAAGUGCCUUUACUCUUGUUCUGGAAGAACCACUUCUGGUAACGAGAGUAAUUUACUUCUUUGCCUACUCAAACUUUGUUUUUC